This 83-nucleotide transfer RNA is filed under the name Clonostachys rosea. RNAcentral's name for it is "tRNA-Leu". It matches the Rfam family "tRNA". Rfam says of the family: Transfer RNA (tRNA) molecules are approximately 80 nucleotides in length. Their secondary structure includes four short double-helical elements and three loops (D, anti-codon, and T loops). Lineage: Eukaryota; Fungi; Ascomycota; Sordariomycetes; Hypocreales; Bionectriaceae. The record is from RNAcentral. RNAcentral also lists the same sequence under 5 other names.
GUCUAAGUGAUGAAAUUGGUAAACAUGAUGUGCUUAAAACACAUCGGCGUAAUGCCUUGAAAGUUCGAGUCUUUCCUUGGACA